RNAcentral lists this transfer RNA (96 nucleotides) under Candidatus Omnitrophota bacterium. RNAcentral's name for it is "Candidatus Omnitrophica bacterium (aquatic metagenome) tRNA-Ser". It matches the Rfam family "tRNA". Rfam says of the family: Transfer RNA (tRNA) molecules are approximately 80 nucleotides in length. Their secondary structure includes four short double-helical elements and three loops (D, anti-codon, and T loops). The record is from RNAcentral. Lineage: Bacteria; Pseudomonadati; Candidatus Omnitrophota.
GGAGGGGUUGCAUAGUCCGGUUUAAUGCGGCGGUUUGCUAAACCGUUGUACUGCUGAAAGGCGGUACCGAGAGUUCAAAUCUCUCCCCCUCCGCCA